UAGUGAACUAACAUAAAUAACAAGUUGACUCGGCUGAUCUUUUAAGUAAGUUUUAAGAAAUAUUAGUAUUAUAGUGAUGGGAUUUACAAUAAAGAUUAAUAGUGAUGAGAUUCAAGCAAAAGAAGUAAGGAGGAUUAAGGUCGGCCCGUUAGACUUUUCAAUCUAGGCAUGGGCCAAAAAUUUGGUUUGAUUAAAUUGCCGUCAUGAAAUCAUAGUUACAAUAAAGAUUAAUAGUGAU
Molecule: long non-coding RNA, 238 nt
Filed under: Helianthus annuus (common sunflower)
Lineage: Eukaryota; Viridiplantae; Streptophyta; Magnoliopsida; Asterales; Asteraceae
Description: sRNA HanXRQr2_Chr17g0787101
Source: RNAcentral